AUUGAACGCUGGCGGAAUGCUUUACACAUGCAAGUCGAACGGCAGCACGGACUUCGGUCUGGUGGCGAGUGGCGAACGGGUGAGUAAUGUAUCGGAACGUGCCCAGUCGUGGGGGAUAACGUAGUGAAAAUUACGCUAAUACCGCAUACGAUCUAUGGAUGAAAGCGGGGGAUCGCAAGACCUCGCGCGAUAGGAGCGGCCGAUAUCAGAUUAGGUAGUUGGUGGGGUAAGGCCCACCAAGCCAACGAUCUGUAGCUGGUCUGAGAGGACGACCAGCCACACUGGAACUGAGACCCGGUCCAGACUCCUACGGGAGGCAGCAGUGGGGAAUUUUGGACAAUGGGCGAAAGCCUGAUCCAGCCAUUCCGCGUGCAGGAUGAAGGCCCUCGGGUUGUAAACUGCUUUUGUACAGAACGAAAAGGUUUCUACUAAUACUAGGAGCUCAUGACGGUACUGUAAGAAUAAGCACCGGCUAACUACGUGCCAGCCGCCGCCGUAA
RNAcentral lists this ribosomal RNA (499 nucleotides) under uncultured bacterium. RNAcentral describes it as "partial 16S ribosomal RNA". It matches the Rfam family "Bacterial small subunit ribosomal RNA", at positions 30 to 523 of the family's 1533-position model. The record is from RNAcentral.